GCCCGGGCCUGCGCGGCCGAGCCCGCCCAGCGGGGAGCGGGCGGCCCCACCGGCCUCCUGCCUGCUGCCGGCUGACAUUCAGUGGAACGGAUGUAAUGAACAUAUGACUCUAAACUUCAGCUUCUGGAUCUAAGGAAGGCCUUUCAUUCAUACUGAUCUCCAGCUAUAAAAGAAACAAGAAUCUGUUAUGGCUUAAGCUUGGCAGGCUUCAGCAAAAUUCCAGCCCUUCAAAUGCAUUCAGUUAACAUGCUGCAUAUUGACUCACUGCUUACUCACGUGACCCACAUUUAAAUUACACUUUCUCAUUUUUGUAGCAUAUCAUAAAUAAUGGUUUAAUCCUCACAGCCUGAUGAAGUCAGUUGGCAUCGUUUUUCCUUGCUAAUGGAAGAAAAGUUUGUAGGAAAAAGUAAGAUAUUUUAUUAGAUGUCAUUAUUGCUUUCAGCUUUAUUUCAAGGAAGUGCUCCUGUAAAUUUGAGCUGAGCUAGCUAAUGAAAACAUACCAAAAGUAAUGGAGGAACUGAUUGUAAUCCCAGGUGGCUAAGAAAGAAGAGAAUGCUUUACCAUCAAGUUACCUGUGCUUUAUAGUCCAGCUGUUCUGAAGGAAGUUUGAAGGGAAUUUGAAUUUACCAAUAUUUAAGGGUAACACUUGGACACAGCAGCUCAACAUAACUGACAGUGAGGGGUACUGAUCCUAAGAUUAGUCUUUGUCGACUUCAGUAACAGCAUCUUUCUUGAGACUGCUUAAAGGACCAGCUUAGUGGAGGAAUGGAAGUGCACCUUUUCCACAAGUUAUACAGCCUGGAAGUCCCAGUUUGCAGCUAAUUUUCCUGCAUUGUCACUCCAAGGAAAGUUGCAGGGAGAAGCACAGCAAACUUGUCUAACUGAGAACAAGCAAAGCAGUGAGUCUUUCCUUAUAGGGCACCAGGAGGCAUAAGGACAUAAGGGAAGGAAAGUGGGGAACAAAAAUCCUCAAGAUCUGCUGUUGGAGAACUUGGAGUUUGUGCUGUGUGGCUGCCAGUUUGAUAUGACACGUGUUCACUAGUUACUUGAUUGUGUUACUUCAUGGAAAGUAGUUACUUUCUACAGAACACAUCAUAUGUGUAUCCUGAAGCAUGGUUGGACAUGAGAAACCCCUGUAUUACAGAAAAGAGACAUUUUGGAACAGAAACAACUGCUUUGAACGUUUGGCACACAGCACUGCUACGGUUUGUGCAGACUUCGCAUUGCAGGAGCAGCCUGACUUCAGGAUUUGACUUCAGGAUUUUACUGCCACCCCCUAACUGACAAAUCCAAGGCCCCCACGCGAAGAACACUGUCCAUGGCAGCAGCACAGGCUGCCCUUCAGGAACACCACCACCUGCAUUCGGGAGGGAUGGACCUGACACAGGACCUCUGCGCUGGCACACGUGUGGAGCCGGAGAGCCAUGGAGACCAUUUCCUGACUUUGGUGACACAGAAAUGCAGCACUGCUGGCACCAGAGGAGGUUCUCCAGAUGAUUCCCCUACCAGCAAUGGUCAGCGAUGUGGCCACCAGAGCCAAGGUGGGGGUCCAAGAUCCCUGGGGUAAGGACAUCCGUCACCCUGUUACGGCUCCAAUAGGCAGCAUUGGCUGAAGAUGCAUCUGACUGUCCCUGUAGAAAAGAAAACCCAGCCUCUGAGGCUUUCCAAGUUUUUCGUAGUGAUGCAAGAUGGGUAAAAUCCUGCCCAAAAGGAAGGAAUACUCUGAGAAGCAGGGAAUAAAAUCCGUGACUUCAUCUUCUAGCAGAAGAACAAGGCUUGUAAGACCCCUGAGGAUGGCAAAUGGUAUCAUUUAAAACUGAAG
This is a long non-coding RNA of Strigops habroptila (Kakapo), 1822 nucleotides long. RefSeq lists it as uncharacterized. Lineage: Eukaryota; Metazoa; Chordata; Aves; Psittaciformes; Psittacidae. The transcript has 8 exons. The record is from RefSeq and is a predicted model, not a curated record.